Felis catus (domestic cat) is the source of this 1971-nucleotide long non-coding RNA. RefSeq lists it as uncharacterized. Lineage: Eukaryota; Metazoa; Chordata; Mammalia; Carnivora; Felidae. The transcript is spliced from 3 exons. The record is from RefSeq and is a predicted model, not a curated record.
CCCCCAUGGGUGUGGUUGCUCCCACGCCGCGGGCACAGGGGAGCGAAGCAGGUACAGCUGAGCCCUGUUUGCUUUCCUGUGCAUGUCCUCUCCUCCUCUGUGAUUAAGGAGGACGAGAACUUUCUCCGCAGAGCCUGCACCGGGGCCGGGAAGGGUGGUUCACUUUGUGCUGGCAGCCAGUCUUGGUGUGAAAAGAGCCCUCCUCGGCUCUUUGAGGAUGCUAGAAGGAAAAACCCACACGCCCGAGCACUGGCCGUGCGGAAAAGCGUUCACGUGCUGAUGCACGGACUUCCGUCUUGCCGAUCCGGUUGUCCCUGGGCUUCCACUUAAGACCACACACACGGAGAAGAGCUGUGAUGCUGAGAGCUGCCAGGAAGGCAUCUGGAAGGGAAAAUAGCGACGAGUCUGCGAAGCAGCGAAGAGGUUGGCAGGAACGUGGGAGUCACAGCUUUGCCAGCAGGUGAUUUUAACAACGGACAAAGGGGUCAGAGAAAGCUUCUCUGCAGUGCACCCUGAAACCAGAGCUGUUGAGGUCCACCCCUUCUGAAACUGACCCUGAACCUUCACUCUGCCAGAGAACCAUUUCGGCCAGUGACAUGUAGACUCCGGCUAAAUUCGUCAAUAGCUGAGAGCUUGGGAGGUCACAUCUGGGGUUCCGCAAAGCAGAGGCAGCUGGAAUGUAAUGUGGGCUUGGGUAAAUAUCUCUCCCUCCUGGCUCAUGUGAUCCCCCGGAGAAGUUUUUGGACACAGAUCAUUAUUGAUAUAUUGGAAGUGUCUUCAGCCGUAUCGGGAGGGGUGUGCGGGGACCAGGAUGCCAAUGGCUGAUGUGUCUGCACGAGCCAUCUUGGUGAUUGAUGCCCGGUCCCGUUGCCAAGGCGGAUGCGUGGCCAUGCUCAUUCAUCUCAGCCUAAAUGUGGGUGUAUAUCGACGUACCCAUUAAACGACUCCGGCUUCGGAGACACAAGAUCAGAUUAGAUAAGCCCCUAAAUUUCUUCUUUUAAAAUAUGCAGAGAAAAAGGAGUUCAAAAUACCAAGUGCUGAUGAGGACUAAGGGUCCAGGAGGAAUUGGCAAACAUCUCAGAAUCCAGAAUUAAUGCUUUACACUUUAGGCUUCUUUGGCAAUCAAUACGUGCACAAAACUCCCAUUAACGUUCACAGGGGUUAAAACACGCAUAUCAACCACAGACCAUUUAUUUCCAAGUCUGAUGUGGGCUCUCUUCUGUGGAAGAUGGGCAGGGCACGGACCCAGGGCUGUCUGCCAUGACAUUUCACACCACUAAGGGCACAGGUGAUUUCGUUGCAGAUUUCUUCACACUGACCCCAUCUUUAUCCCGGGCUGACCUCCCCCAAAUCCAUCUGUUUUUCCAGCUGACAGCUCCUGAGUUUUGGAACUUCCUACACUCUCCCUGACCCCUGACAAGUUCAGGUGGCUACACCCCCUUUCCCACCCCUGUCUGAGCCUGCCAUUCUGAUAUGAAGUCCUCCGGAAGGAGGGGCCGGGAACAACGAGUCCCCCUCUUCCAGCCCCAGGACCACUGACACAGAGCCUAUAAUUUAUCAUAAAAGGUUACCGGGUUUAGCUAGCCCACUCUAUUAUUAAUCAGAUCGUUUUUGGCAGGUUGGAUUUCGUUACCUAUAAAUAUUCAUUACAUUUGGACUGCUUUAUAAACAGUAACAUUUCCUCCUGUUUUUAGAGAAAAAUUUGUAUCAUCUUGCCUGCUUGUCAGGCCUGGCUGUGGCAUAAGGCAAGUUGAUGUCUUAUCAAAAACCUGGGCCCCAUUCUCCGUGGCAAGUUGUGCCUUAGUGGUUACAAGACACCCGUGUGAGUCCAUAGAACUGGGGGCUGGCUGGUGCUCCCAGCCACGGAGAGAUAUUCCCUCCAGAGGGGCUGCCGUUUUCUUUAUGAAAACUCGUUGUUUUUGAAAAAUGUUUAUUUUUAAGAGCGAGAGAGAGAGACAGGGACUGAGCAGA